CUUUCCGAUUCAUAUUGCUGCAUUGACGCAAAGUGCCAUGUGCAGGGAGCUUGGCUUCCCAGUCUGUGCCGCUGACGCAGGAGCAAGAAUGAGGUGUCAUUGGCGCUGGGCCAAGGGAGCAGCACUGCUGGUUCAGGACUGCAGCUGGUUCACUACACCUACCUGGGACAAGCAGGGCGGCAUUGCUAGCGAGGAUGGGCGGCGAUGGGUUCAGGAGGGCGACUUACUCGCAGAACAACCACUUCUAGUAGCAAGGAGCUUGGCUUCCCAGUCUGUGCCGCCGACGCGGGAGCGAAGAUGGGCUGCAGCCGGUUGACUAUUCGGUGCGACCUACCUCGGACAAUCAGGAGAAAAGCUGUUGAGCACCUCACCAUGGAAAUCCUGCCGAAUCUGAGCUCAUCAGUCAUUUCUUCUUGCUGUUAUCUUGUUUGCGUCGACAACGUAUGGUGGGACAGAUAGACUGCUACCUGGCGCCUCGAGUGGCAGGUUUUCUCAGUUUUAGAAGGCUGCUGUCUGAUGCAUGACUGGAGGGAGGAAGUGCCAGCUGAACUCCUCUUGUUUGCGAAACAAGAAUUUGUAUUGGUUGUCAUCUGUUUAUUGUAACUCCAAAUCUGGAAUGUUCCAGACCGGUUGUUCUUCUAAUUCCCAUGACGAGAAGUUGUAAUGGUGUAGUUGUAAUGUCUGUUUGGUUAAACUUGUGAUGGAGUUACGGUUGCACUUUUA
Molecule: long non-coding RNA, 723 nt
Organism: Lolium rigidum
Lineage: Eukaryota; Viridiplantae; Streptophyta; Magnoliopsida; Poales; Poaceae
Exons: 5
Source: RefSeq, a predicted model, not a curated record